UAUAGUGAAGACUAUUAUUAGUAGUAUUAUAGUCAUUAUAGAUCUAUCAUCUAUGCAUCUUAGGUCUUAGUAUAAUAAGUAAUCUUGUUAUAUUAUAGACAUCUAAUUAUCUAGAUCUAAUCUAGACUCUAAUUCUAGAAUUAGAAUAGUUCAAUAGUAGAAUCUGAGUAAUCUCUAAACUAAUAGAUCUCUAGAGUCUAAUAAAGUCAAAGUAAUAUAGAUUUCAAUUAAUAGAUCUAGAUUAUUGACUUAUAAUUUUAAAUUUACAUUUAGAUCUAAGACUACGACUAAUAAGAGUUAGAUUCUACUUAAGAGUAAGAGACUAAAAUAAUUAAAUAUACUAAUAUAGACUAUUAUGACUAUACAUCUAAUAGUAGUAAUAGACUAAUACUAAUAGACUAGACGUCACUAGACUGUAACUCUAGAUCUAUCUAGUAAAAAGUUUUAAAAUAAAAAGAGUCGACAUUUCUUUUAGAUCUAUAGUAAAGCAAAAUUCUUUGCCUGCAGCUAUACAGGAACACACUGGUGUUUAAUAAAAAGCAGCAAAAUGUAGAUCUAUAGAAGCAAGGAAUUAUCAGGAUUUAUCAAGCAGCGAAACUUGCUAGAAAUAUAAUGAACACGUUUAUUUUUCUCGCCUUUCAAAUACCUUGAAUUGGCGGGAAUAGCGGCCAUUAUAGGGUAAAGAUCAAAAGGCUUUCUAGUGACCUGUGCACACUCUAGUUUAUUCUCCUGUGACGAAACGCGUCCCUUCGCAAUACAGAACUGACCGGUGCGGAACUAACCCCCCCCCCCUCUUAACCACUAGUUAGCAUUGUAUAGCCCCUUUUACACUAAACUGACCAGGGUAGAACACAAACAAUCUAUUACACCAAGGUUAGAUCCAACCCCCAAAUCAUAGGCCAUAAACACACAUCCCAAGUUAUACCCAGACGUCGAAACAAACGUACGCAGCCGUUAAGUUCAGGAACAUUAAAAUUGAAUGUUACGCCCCAAACGCCGAAACAAAAGCACGCAACCGUGAAGUCCAGGGACAUUAAAAUUUGGUGUCCACGUACAUCCCUUUGAGUCGACACUCCUAACGCCCAGGGCUAUUCAAAUCGUUUCCGUCCGCUGUACCAUCGAGCGAUGGUCCAGCCUGAUAAUUGUUGCAUGGUUCCGCUUUCAUCCUCCCUCGCCCCCCCCCCCCCCCGGGUCGCGGGUUAAAGAAGUCAGGUGAAUGAGCCCCAAAUGAAAAGAUUGGUCCAAUUUAACAAUUCUAAACUCAAAAGACUCGCUGGCCAUUGGAUCAUCACUACUCUUAACAUACCGUUCGGGAACCUAUAAAAGCCGGAGACGAAAGUUUCAGGUUAAUGCCAUUCUAGAUCAGAAUCACUGAGAAGUCAGAAGACUCUCAAGUCAACGAUUCAUUUGGGAACUUGUGUAAGGCAAAGCGGGUGAGUUGGAAAAACUUUAUCAUUAUUAUUUAGUGUGUCUUCGCCUGUAACAUUUACGUUCAUGUAUCAUUACCAUGUUAAUACUUGUUUGCUUCCAAAUAUUAUAUUUGUAAAUCUCUAUGAACAUGUGUUCCUUAAUAACUCGUCAACGUUGACUGUAUUCCCAACGGUGGACAUCCACCUUACAAUUUAGUUAAUCCUAAUAUUUAUUUAUGAAUUUGUUAUUUAUUCAUAUCCAUAUUCAUCUGGACCUACUCGCGUCUAGAUCAUUUCUUACCUGUGCACAUGUACCUGUAUAUGUGCACAUAUAUAUACAUUAUGAUUAUGCUUGUUUUGGUUAUGCACAUACUGUGCUGUUACCAUGCAUCCUUAGGCCCGAGAAUCAGUCUCGCAUGCCUACCCCACUAUUUUCGGCCUGUAUAAUUAUGUGCCCUUUUCUACCCCCCCCCCCCCUUUUCUUCUUGUCACAGUCCUCUGGUCACGAGUGACCGCGGACUUGUUUACCUGUGGGUCAAUGAGGUCACAGGGGCUACAACCCUGUAAUAUGGUCUCCCUGCUUCCCUCCUCAUUUAUGCCCCUGCCUUGUACAUUAAUAUGUGUAUUCGUGAUAUUGUUAUUAUAUCAUUUGUAUAGCAAUUAUUACCAGACUUAGGGAAUUGUCGUUAACAUGUAUCUUAGUUAGUCUGAGGGAGACGCUCCUAUCAAGGAUGCGCCCCUCGCCAACCAGCCUGUAUGGUUUAAUAAUUCAGGCUCCUCUCAUGUCUCGUUUCAUAGCCUCCUACACCAGGGCUGGCGUGUUUUGUUGCCUGAAGGCAGACCUCAGCAGCUCUCCACACAUUCCCGUUGAGGGUGAGUCACUCAUCACCCUCAAACCGAACCGAAGGCAUUCCAGGCUGACGUCCCAGGACCGGUCUGCAACUACCGCAGGAGUAAGCCCACCGCGUGGCAUCCUCAUAUUCAUCACAUUAGCGCCUGCCUACCUGCAGGGCACCAGCAACUGGCUACAACACAACGGAGCUUCAACUUAUCCAACCCCGAAGGAGAACCUUGCAUAACAGAUAAGUGAGAGACAGCCGAAUAAGCAAACCAUACACGAAUCUUUAUGAGCAACAUCCCAGUGAUGAUAUUAUCUUAAACGUCAUCAUAAAAUCCUAAAUCAUUCUGUACAUCCCCCCCCCCCACUCACUGAGUGUAUUUCUUCUUAAUUUAUCUUUAUUAAAUACUUGUUCUUCCACAAAACCAAUAAGCUUUGCGUUUUGCUUGUGCCUAUCUAUGUGCCUAUAUAACAUCAACCAAAUAUUUACCACGUUGUGGCUCUAAGACUUUACCCCUAGGAGUCGCAGGCCAUCGUCCCCAUCGGGAAGUACAAACGGACCGAUCGGCGGACUUAUUCCACCACAACGGGGGUAAACUGUGACGCCUCGUCCGGGAUCACAAAACCCUAACUCAUUCAGCAUAGGCACAAGGCAAUAAGCAGAACGUUUAAAAAUUUCCACCCACUAGACCCUAUAUAUAUAUAUAUAUAUAUAUAUUAAUAUCAUAGAACUACAUAUUGCUCAGUAUGGUUUGAUUAUGUCAAUGCUGUAUAGUAUAUUAUAUUAAUUAUAUACUUGUUGUAUCAUAUUUAGAUAAUAACACAGGUGAAGACAUAAUUAAAUAAAUAUUCAGUUAGCCUCUCACCCGCUUCAGCUUCUAGCAUAUUUCCCCAUCACCUCUAUCCCACAAAAAUGGCUGAAGGCACUAGAUCAAAAGCCGAAUCAGCUAAAUCUAUAAAAAUUCGCGAGCUCAACGAGUUGGCAGACCAAAUAGGCAUCAGGCCUGAAGACAGGCCAACAUUCAUCCUAGCUAAAUUCGAGGAGUGGGAAAAAGUUGAGAGGGAAAAAGAGAAAGAAGCUCACGCAUUCCGUAUGAAAGAAAAGGAAAUAGAGUUAGAAAAAUUAAAAGCUAACGACGAAUCGCGCACAACAAAUGCUGCCGAUCAAAACUCCCCUAACUGUCAAACCCCUCACUUCAACUUAGAACCUUUCGAUGAAACCAAAGAAAGUAUAGAGACUUUCUUAGAAAGGUUUCAAAACGUGGCUACCAACAACCAGCUACCAGUUGGCAAAUGGCCAUUUAGAGUGUCACAAGCUCUUCGGGGUAAGGCCUACGAGGUGUAUGCUAAGCUCCCCUCAUCCAGUCAAAACGACUACUCAGCGCUCAAGAACGCACUGCUAGUCCAGUUCGACUUGACCGCCAGCUCCUACCACAAGAAAUUUAGGAACUCUCGCCUCGAAAGGCGCGAGAUGUAUUCCAGUCUCUUUACUAGACUAGAGAAAUACUUAGAUAAAUGGUUAUCCUUAAGUCCCUUCACUCAAAAUUAUGAAGGCCUAAAAGAACUUAUUCUGGUAGAACAGCUCCGCGAAUGUAUGGCCCCUGACCUUCGCAUCUUCAUAGAUGAAAGCGGUGUCACAACACCACAAGAAAUAGUCAGUUACUCUGUUAGAUUUCUAGCAGCCCACAGGGAGCAGAAAACUAAAACAUCAGACCAAAGCCCAUCGAUAGCGAAGGUAGAUAAGCAGCCCGACCCUCCAAGUAGCAGCAAUAACAAUAACAACAAACAAACACGCCAGCCCAACAACCAAGCACCCCGCCUCCCCAUUCCUCCCAACCCGCCGAGGCAGCAAAAGAAGUGGUGCAGCUUCCAUAACUCUCCUACCCAUGACUCCAGCGAGUGUCAUAAUAGAAGUCGCCCUUACUCAGCCCAACCACUGAUGGUGAUAACACAAGCAACUCCCAUCCUAAACCCAUCACCGAGUAACCAUCCCCCUACAGUCGAAAAAGUAUUAGUGAACGGAAUAUCCUCUAAUUGCCUAUACGAUUCCGGGUGUUCCUUUUCGGCAAUCGUCAGGAAAUCAUUGGUAAAGCCCCGCUACAUUAGCAACAAAUGGGUCACCAUACAAGGCGCAGACUUGAACUCUCCCCCAUUCACCCUUCCGAUCGCCCGAAUAAAGGUGAGAUCUAGAUAUGUCAACGGUAGGAUAGAGGCGGCCGUCAUGGACAAUCCAUGCUUUGACCUAACGCUUGGUGACAAAUACGUGUUCCUGGGAACUCCUACAGACCCGAGGUUCACUACCCCAGGGAUCACUCCGGUGAACCCCAAUGCAACUAACCCCUCGGUCCCUGAAACGGACCACAUCAGCGCAUUCCCUGUGAUUACUGGAGCCCAGGCUCCACAGGAUGGCGCAAGGGAAACCCUUAACUCUCUCCGCAGAGGAUACAAGGAAUCCCCACGAAGCUAUUUAUCGUCUGCAAAGAUUCUCGUUCCCGUGAAAAGGGAUAAGUCGAAAAUCCAUUGGCGCCCAAUAGCUCGCAAACCGGGCCUCCCACAGCACCAUUCGGGCGGGGAGGGAGGCGCACGAAGCCACGCGGCCCAGUCCCAGCGCUCCGGCCCUCAAACCCAGCAAACUGGCCAACCCAACUCCCAGGACUCUAAACAGAGCCGAGGAGUAAAGGCCGAGAAACCCAUCAGCGGUUCUAUCACGAAGAACGCUGACUCUAGCUGCGUGCCUGUUGUAACGCAGGUCGCCAAUCUCAAAGCUAUCGCCAUCGAACGAGGCACCCACUCUGCCAGCGCACCUAUCAACGCACAGGGCUCUGGCACUGCCACUACCAUCCUUCCGCAGGACACUGGCAUCGACAGCGUAAUGGACAUCGCAUCCAGCGCCACAAUGAUUGCACCUGAUAUAGUGCGAGGCAUCAAACCCCUUGGUGCCGCCUUCAACUCACGGUCCACCGCGACCCACCCCAGGCCACUCAUCACGAGAAGCGCCUGUACAAACAGUUAUGAGACAAGACAAUGUCUCCCCCUCGAGCCGCCUGGUAAGGCAUCUCUGUUCCCCACUUUACACAUUUCUGCACCCCUCCUCAACGCCGAGGGCCUAAAACCGCAUCCGCCCUUAAGCCACAUAGAUGAGCUACCCUCUAACUACGCUGAGGUCAUUCUAAGUGAAAGCGACCCGCCACCCAGCCGACUAUCCAACUUGCAAGUUAGCUCGGCUAAUAAACGAGAAGACUGCAAAAUCUGUCUAAAGUUUCUAUGUGUAGUAGUCUUGUGGAUGUUUCUUGCACAUCACUAUGGUUCAAACCCUAAAGCAUCACAAGGGCCCUCACACGAUGGUUCAACUCUCCAUGUGCCUCCCAGACUAGUACUGGUGGCAACACUCAUGCUCAUUGCAUUCUUGCUAGGCUAUCUGUCUGCUAGAAUAAGCUGGCCACACUUUUGCAGCAGGCGUAAGGUAUUUCUCACCACGCCUAAAUUCUCGAAGGGCCUUCAGCAGUUUCAACACAACGAAAACAAACCGAAUGCCCAGUCCCGGCUACUACUAUUUAGCCACUCUCCUGCCCGUAAUGGCAGUCACAAAGAGGGAGUAACUCCCGCCUUCCUUGAUUGGUGCACAAUCGCGUCUGCCAAUAAAUCAGCCCUAGAUCCUGUAGUGGAGUUUGUUAUCCACCAUAGCGUCCCAGCUCACGCUGGACCCGAUGACGUUAUCAGCGAAUGCACGCUCCUACGUAGGGGCCCCGCUUGUCCCUCUAUCAUCUAGGCAACCUCUCACAGGUCAGUUCAGAAUUUCGAAUUUAAUAAUGCCUUUACAAUGCAUUAUCUUUGGCGGAGGGGUGUGUGACGAAACGCGUCCCUUCGCAAUACAGAACUGACCAGUGCGGAACUAACCCCCCCCCCCCCCCCUCUUAACCACUAGUUAGCAUUGUAUAGCCCCUUUUACACUAAACUGACCAGGGUAGAACACAAACAAUCUAUUACACCAAGGUUAGAUCCAACCCCCAAAUCAUAGGCCAUAAACACACAUCCCAAGUUAUACCCAGACGUCGAAACAAACGUACGCAGCCGUUAAGUUCAGGAACAUUAAAAUUGAAUGUUACGCCCCAAACGCCGAAACAAAAGCACGCAACCGUGAAGUCCAGGGACAUUAAAAUUUGGUGUCCACGUACAUCCCUUUGAGUCGACACUCCUAACGCCCAGGGCUAUUCAAAUCGUUUCCGUCCGCUGUACCAUCGAGCGAUGGUCCAGCCUGAUAAUUGUUGCAUGGUUCCGCUUUCAUCCUCCCUCGCCCCCCCCCCCGGGUCGCGGGUUAAAGAAGUCAGGUGAAUGAGCCCCAAAUGAAAAGAUUGGUCCAAUUUAACAAUUCUAAACUCAAAAGACUCGCUGGCCAUUGGAUCAUCACUACUCUUAACAUACCGUUCGGGAACCUAUAAAAGCCGGAGACGAAAGUUUCAGGUUAAUGCCAUUCUAGAUCAGAAUCACUGAGAAGUCAGAAGACUCUCAAGUCAACGAUUCAUUUGGGAACUUGUGUAAGGCAAAGCGGCCUCCUACACCAGGGCUGGCGUGUUUUGUUGCCUGAAGGCAGACCUCAGCAGCUCUCCACACAUUCCCGUUGAGGGUGAGUCACUCAUCACCCUCAAACCGAACCGAAGGCAUUCCAGGCUGACGUCCCAGGACCGGUCUGCAACUACCGCAGGAGUAAGCCCACCGCGUGGCAUCCUCAUAUUCAUCACAUUAGCGCCUGCCUACCUGCAGGGCACCAGCAACUGGCUACAACACAACGGAGCUUCAACUUAUCCAACCCCGAAGGAGAACCUUGCAUAACAGAUAAGUGAGAGACAGCCGAAUAAGCAAACCAUACACGAAUCUUUAUGAGCAACAUCCCAGUGAUGAUAUUAUCUUAAACGUCAUCAUAAAAUCCUAAAUCAUUCUGUACAUCCCCCCCCCCACUCACUGAGUGUAUUUCUUCUUAAUUUAUCUUUAUUAAAUACUUGUUCUUCCACAAAACCAAUAAGCUUUGCGUUUUGCUUGUGCCUAUCUAUGUGCCUAUAUAACAUCAACCAAAUAUUUACCACGUUGUGGCUCUAAGACUUUACCCCUAGGAGUCGCAGGCCAUCGUCCCCAUCGGGAAGUACAAACGGACCGAUCGGCGGACUUAUUCCACCACAUCUCCUCUCUAUUAUUCAUUAUAUAUAUUCUCCAAAUUACAUAGAUCUAAAUAUUUAUUGGUAUGUAUGUUAAAAAAGUUUGUAAUUAAACUUUUUAGUUAGUAACUAAAAAAAAAAAUUAAACUAAGAUUUUAACUAAACUUUUUUUUUUAAUUUAAACUUUGGCCUUAACUAAUUUUUUUUAGUUAAACUAAAAGUUAGCAGCUUUUUAGUUAACUUUCGCCCAUCACUAGUCACUGAUGACGGCCUCUUCGUGGAACGGCGUGGAGGACUUUUUGGACUGGGGUGCGGCUUAUUUGUUCCAUCCCUACCCUGAGUGAGAUUGUUUUUUAAUGUAACAUGCAUUAGUUAUUAAGAGAAAAACAAUCGCUUUAUAAGUUGUAUAAAGGAAGCAUUGUCUUUUUAAAAAAGGUAUUUUAAUUCGAUUUUUUCAUAAAAAUGCACCAAUUCUAGAACAAUUACGUAAAUGUAAGGGAGGCAAUGUUACAAUAUGUUAACAAAGAAAGACCAUUUUUUUGUGUAUUUUCAGUAUCACUAAGUCAAAUAAAUGUAAUAAAUGUAUUGAAAAUGUUCUAAACAAAUAUAAAUAUUAGUUAAAGGUGUUAUUUCUGGUCAGCUAGCUGCUAAAAUUAAAAGAAAACAUUUAUGUUUGUUUAUAAAGGCUAAUAAUGCGCUUUGUACCUAAAUAUCACGCACAUUUUUAAAUGGACUUUUUAUCCAGCGACUUUCGUGCAGUAGCGAAAUACUGUGGUCUAUAGAGAACAAACACUAAUUCCUUAAAAAAUUUCAAUUAAAUUUUUUUUUUGUUGUUUAAUGUUCCCAUCAGAAUAAAAGAGGCUUAUUUUUUGUGCGUUUUGUCGGUCGGUCGGUCUGUUCGUCACGGAUAAAAAAAAAUAUAAAAGAAAAAAAAAAAAAAUUAUAAGCUAUUGAAAAUCUGAUUUACCCUUUAAUAUUCCUCCCGUAACAUCUUAAUAGUUUUAAGUAUCUAUGAUUGAUUGAUUGUUCCGAAUGUUUUGUGAAAAACUAAUCAAUGCUAACGAAUGUUUGUUUGCUCUUCUAACCUAUAUUACAUUUAAUUUCCAUGCUUAAACGUUGCAAAAACACAUUAUCAAUAUUAUGUUGUUCCGUUUUUUUUUUGUAAAUAGCAUAUAAAUGCUAAAUCAAAUCUCUAUAUUGACUGUAAAAUUAACUGUAAACAUGUUCCGGAUAUUGUUUUAUAAAAAAAAUGAAUUAUGUCAAAUGAUUUUUUAAAAUCGCAUAAUUGACUAAUAUUACACUUAUAUUCUUUGACGAUAAGUUACUAUAGUUUAUUAUCGAUAUCAAAUUGUUCCGUACUUUCAUCUUUAAACAAAUGUUUAAAAUAUCGAUAAUAGGAUUUUAAAAAAGAAAGUAAUUUACUAGAAACGAUUAUUGAAAAUCACUUUUUAGACUUAUUUUACAUUGAAUUUUCUUGCUGAAACAUAGCAAAAGCUUUUUAAUCGAUAAAGAAUCUUCUGGAUUUUCUUUUGAAAAGAAAUCGACCUACAUUACUUACAUUUUCUUACAAAUAGUCCGAAAUUUCCGAAUUUUAUAUGAAAAAUCUACUAACGCCAAAUAACUGUUGGAAAUCCCUCUUCUAAUUAUUAAACCAAAAAAUCUUCGCAUUUACGAAAAAAAUGUUGUUCUGGAUUUUUUACAAAAAAUAUUUUAACUCUAUUUUUAUGUAAAAUAUCACUUCUCUCUUGAAGUCAGAAGUUUUGUUUAGGUAGAUCUACUUCCUCAUUCUGGUUCUAUUUAAAUGAAAAUGCCAAUAGCUCUGUUGUUCAUCAUCAUCAUCAUCAAACUCCAUUUGAGUGAGGUCUUGAGAUGCUUAAAUCUUCUCUUGCAAAAGCCCUGGACAGAAACCCUGCUGUCUUGCUUAGUGCAUACACGUCACCAUACAGGUCGAGAAUUUUUGGUUUCCCAGACCUGUCAAGACGGAGAUCAGCAAGUCUGGGGCAAUCAAACAGAAUAUGAGGCACUGUUUCCUCUUCUUCCUCGCAGCGGGGGCACCGUGAAUGGAAAUCUGGCCAUAACCGUGAGAAAUAUGAACCUACAAGACAGUGGUCUGUCCUGCAUUGUGCUAUAAUAGCUUGCUCAGGCCUGGACAGCCCCCACCACGGGGAAGUGCGGUCAGGGCGCGUCAUGCGCUCCCAGACUCCACAGGCUUUUUGGGAAUUGUCCCAGCACUCAAACCACUUUUCCAUUUGUUUUUUUUUAUUAUAGCCAGAGCAUGAUGAAAACUUACAGCCUGUUCAGUUGGUGGAAUUCGCCCUCCCUGGUGGGCCAAGGAAUCUGCAAUAGUGUUGCCAGUCACACCUAUGUGACUCGGUGCCCACUGCAUUAUUACAGGGGUGGCAUAGUGCUGCUUUAUGUUGUGUGAGGCCAUGAUGACAGUGUCGA
Biomphalaria glabrata is the source of this 9842-nucleotide RNA transcript. RefSeq lists it as uncharacterized. The record is from RefSeq and is a predicted model, not a curated record. The transcript is spliced from 2 exons. Lineage: Eukaryota; Metazoa; Mollusca; Gastropoda; Planorbidae.